GACGAACGCUGGCGGCGUGCUUAACACAUGCAAGUCGAACGGAAAGGCCCUGCUUUUGUGGGGUGCUCGAGUGGCGAACGGGUGAGUAACACGUGAGUAACCUGCCCUUGACUUUGGGAUAACUUCAGGAAACUGGGGCUAAUACCGGAUAGGAGCUCCUGCUGCAUGGUGGGGGUUGGAAAGUUUCGGCGGUUGGGGAUGGACUCGCGGCUUAUCAGCUUGUUGGUGGGGUAGUGGCUUACCAAGGCUUUGACGGGUAGCCGGCCUGAGAGGGUGACCGGCCACAUUGGGACUGAGAUACGGCCCAGACUCCUACAGGAGGCAGCGGUGGGGAAUAUUGCACAAUGGGCGGAAGCCUGAUGCAGCAACGCCGCGUGCGGGAUGACGGCCUUCGGGUUGUAAACCGCUUUCGCCUGUGACGAAGCGUGAGUGACGGUAAUGGGUAAAGAAGCACCGGCUAACUACGUG
This 468-nucleotide ribosomal RNA is filed under the name uncultured bacterium. RNAcentral's name for it is "partial 16S ribosomal RNA". It matches the Rfam family "Bacterial small subunit ribosomal RNA", at positions 28 to 507 of the family's 1533-position model. The record is from RNAcentral.